This 483-nucleotide ribosomal RNA is filed under the name uncultured bacterium. RNAcentral's name for it is "partial 16S ribosomal RNA". It matches the Rfam family "Bacterial small subunit ribosomal RNA", at positions 28 to 507 of the family's 1533-position model. The record is from RNAcentral.
GAUGAACGCUAGCGGCAGGCCUAAUACAUGCAAGCCGAACGGCAAGUUUGAUAGCAAUAUUGGACCUAGAGUGGCGCAAGGGUGCGUAACACGUAUGCAACCUGCCCGCGACAGGAGGAUAGCUCCCCGAAAGGGGAAUUAACCCUCCAUAACACCAUGAGAAGGCAUCUGAUUAUGGUUAAACCGCAAGGGGUCGCGGAUGGGCAUGCGGUUGAUUAGCUAGUUGGCGGGGUAAAGGCCCACCAAGGCGGUGAUCAAUAGGGGUUCUGAGAGGAAGGUCCCCCAAACUGGCACUGGGAUAAGGGCCAGAAUCCUACGGGAGGCAGCAGUAGGGAAUAAUGGAAAAUGGUUGCAAGACUGAUCCAGCCAUGCCGCGUGCAGGAAGAAGGCCUUUUGGGUCGUAAACUGCUUUUUACUGUGGAUAAAAUACCCGGGCGCGGGGAAUUGAAGGUAACAGGGGAAUAAGCCACGGCUAACUACGUG